RNAcentral lists this ribosomal RNA (735 nucleotides) under uncultured Fusobacterium sp. Its description in RNAcentral is "bacterial SSU rRNA". It matches the Rfam family "Bacterial small subunit ribosomal RNA", at positions 28 to 776 of the family's 1533-position model. Lineage: Bacteria; Fusobacteriati; Fusobacteriota; Fusobacteriia; Fusobacteriales; Fusobacteriaceae. The record is from RNAcentral.
GAUGAACGCUGACAGAAUGCUUAACACAUGCAAGUCUACUUGAAUUUGGGUUUUUAACUUAGAUUUGGGUGGCGGACGGGUGAGUAACGCGUAAAGAACUUGCCUCACAGCUAGGGACAACAUUUAGAAAUGAAUGCUAAUACCUAAUAUUAUGAUAAUAGGGCAUCCUAUAAUUAUGAAAGCUAUAUGCGCUGUGAGAGAGCUUUGCGUCCCAUUAGCUAGUUGGAGAGGUAACGGCUCACCAAGGCGAUGAUGGGUAGCCGGCCUGAGAGGGUGAUCGGCCACAAGGGGACUGAGACACGGCCCUUACUCCUACGGGAGGCAGCAGUGGGGAAUAUUGGACAAUGGACCGAGAGUCUGAUCCAGCAAUUCUGUGUGCACGAUGAAGUUUUUCGGAAUGUAAAGUGCUUUCAGUUGGGAAGAAAAAAAUGACGGUACCAACAGAAGAAGUGACGGCUAAAUACGUGCCAGCAGCCGCGGUAAUACGUAUGUCACGAGCGUUAUCCGGAUUUAUUGGGCGUAAAGCGCGUCUAGGUGGUUAUGUAAGUCUGAUGUGAAAAUGCAGGGCUCAACUCUGUAUUGCGUUGGAAACUGUGUAACUAGAGUACUGGAGAGGUAAGCGGAACUACAAGUGUAGAGGUGAAAUUCGUAGAUAUUUGUAGGAAUGCCGAUGGGGAAGCCAGCUUACUGGACAGAUACUGACGCUGAAGCGCGAAAGCGUGGGUAGCAAACAGG